Molecule: ribosomal RNA, 484 nt
Filed under: uncultured bacterium
Lineage: Bacteria
Description: bacterial SSU rRNA
Rfam family: Bacterial small subunit ribosomal RNA
Source: RNAcentral
GAUGAACGCUAGCGGCAGGCCUAAUACAUGCAAGUCGAACGAAGCAGCAAUGCUUAGUGGCGCACGGGUGCGUAACACGUAUGUAACCUACCUUUUACUGGGGGAUAACUUCUCGAAAGAGAAGCUAAUACCGCAUAAUACAUUAAAGUCACCUGAUUUAAAUGUUAAAGAUUUAUUGGUAAAAGAUGGGCAUGCGUCCAAUUAGCUAGUUGGUAGUGUAACGGACUACCAAGGCUACGAUUGGUAGGGGUCUGAGAGGAUGGUCCCCACACUGGUACUGAGAUACGGACCAGACUCCUACGGGAGGCAGCAGUAGGGAAUAUUGGGCAAUGGACGAAAGUCUGACCCAGCCAUGCCGCGUGCAGGAUGAAGGCCCUCUGGGUUGUAAACUGCUUUUGACAGGGAAGAAAUACACCAUGCGUGGUGGGCUGACGGUACCUGUAGAAUAAGCACCGGCUAACUCCGUGCCAGCAGCCGCGGUAAU